AUUGAACGCUGGCGGCAGGCCUAACACAUGCAAGUCGAACGAGUGGCGGACGGGUGAGUAAUGUCUGGGAAACUGCCUGAUGGAGGGGGAUAACUACUGGAAACGGUAGCUAAUACCGCAUACCAUCGGAUGUGCCCCGAUGGGAUUAGCUAGUAGGUGGGGUAAAGGCUCACCUGGGCGCCGAUCCCUGGCUGGUCUGAGAGGAGUACCAGCCACACUGGAACUGCGACACGGGCCAGACUCCUACGGGAGGCAGGAGUGGGGAAUAUUGCACAAUGGGCGCAAGCCUGAUGCGGCCAUGCCGCGUGUAUGAAGAAGGCCUUCGGGUUGUUAAGUACUUUCAGCGGGGAGGCGUUACCCGCAGAAGAAGCACCGGCUAACUACGUGCCAGCCGCCGCGGUAAUAC
RNAcentral lists this ribosomal RNA (406 nucleotides) under uncultured bacterium. RNAcentral describes it as "partial 16S ribosomal RNA". It matches the Rfam family "Bacterial small subunit ribosomal RNA", at positions 30 to 526 of the family's 1533-position model. The record is from RNAcentral.